Molecule: ribosomal RNA, 560 nt
Filed under: uncultured bacterium
Lineage: Bacteria
Description: partial 16S ribosomal RNA
Rfam family: Bacterial small subunit ribosomal RNA
Source: RNAcentral
UGGGGAAUAUUGCACAAUGGGCGAAAGCCUGAUGCAGCAACGCCGCGUGAGGGACGACGGCCUUCGGGUUGUAAACCUCUUUUAGCAAGGAAGAAGCGAAAGUGACGGUACUUGCAGAAAAAGCGCCGGCUAACUACGUGCCAGCAGCCGCGGUAAUACGUAGGGCGCAAGCGUUAUCCGGAAUUAUUGGGCGUAAAGAGCUCGUAGGCGGUUUGUCGCGUCUGCUGUGAAAACCCGAGGCUCAACCUCGGGCCUGCAGUGGGUACGGGCAGACUAGAGUGCGGUAGGGGAGAUUGGAACUCCUGGUGUAGCGGUGGAAUGCGCAGAUAUCAGGAAGAACACCGAUGGCGAAGGCAGAUCUCUGGGCCGUAACUGACGCUGAGGAGCGAAAGGGUGGGGAGCAAAACAGGCUUAGAUACCCUGGUAGUCCACCCCGUAAACGUUGGGAACUAGUUGUGGGGUCCAUUCCACGGAUUCCGUGACGCAGCUAACGCAUUAAGUUCCCCGCCUGGGGAGUACGGCCGCAAGGCUAAAAACUGCAAAGGAAUUGACGGGGUCAU